This 1184-nucleotide long non-coding RNA is filed under the name Cervus hanglu yarkandensis (Yarkand deer). Its description in RNAcentral is "lncRNA (ENSCHYG00000021873.1)". Lineage: Eukaryota; Metazoa; Chordata; Mammalia; Artiodactyla; Cervidae. The record is from RNAcentral.
UGGGCUGGUCUAGGCAGGGAAGCCGGCCAGGCUGUCCUUGUUGUGGAAUUGCCUCACCUCCCCCAGCCCUGUCCCCUCCCCGCGGUCCCUCCCCAGCCCCGCGUUCCCCGGCCAAGUAUUCCUUUUCGUGACUUCACUGAGUGAGUUGUGCAGACGUAGCAAGUGACCUUCAGGGCACAGCAGGGGAAUAGAAAGUAGACAGAAAACAGCCUGUUUGGAGAGGUGUACAAUGGUCUCUUUCUUGAGACGCCCUUUGCUCUCCCCUGAUUUCCUCAGCUCUUGAUUUACUUUUGCUGGAUGUCUGAGAUGGAAAUGGACACCAUGCAAAAAUGCAUGAUGUUUUCUCCAGGACCGUGCUUCCACACCUGUGAGAGCACUGCUCCUCAGUGAAGAAGAGACCCUGCAUUCCAUGUCCGUGCUGUGUUCUGGGAAAUUUCCUUUUUCUGUGAAUGUGUCACCCUUCCACUGAAAUGUACAUGAAUCAGAAGGUAAUGGAAACCAGUCAGAACCAGGAACUUCUCAACAAGUUACACUUGGCUGGCCAUGUGAGGAGAAGACCAACUGUAGCACACGAAAGCAAUAUCUCUGUGAUCACAAGGUAAGACAAAGAAAUCUGCUGUCUCAUCUCCAAAAAUCCCAGUGAAUAUUAUUUUGCCAAGAAACGGAGGGAGACCUGCUUGCAUGAGCACAUGUGAACACACGAUGACGAUAAGUCCUGCUUUAAAACAUCUGAAGAAACUGCAGAGCAAUGGCCUCAUUCUGCUAUGGCCAAGGCCGCCUUCAAGACCACCUUCCUUUAUAUUUCUUCUCCUUCCUUGCGAUAAGCUGGGGUAUGAAUUAUUGAAGCCGAAGAACGAGAUCCCUGAGAGACUGGAGGGUGAGCUAUAAACUUGACUUGGCUUGUCUGGAAUGCGAGCUCCAUGAAGGCAAGGUCUGUGCCUCUUCGUCGCUAUGUCCCCACACCUUUACCAGCAGCUGAGACCCAGCAGGCACUCAUAUCUGUGAAAUGAAUGAAUGAGCCACAUGGCUUCCUGCCCAAGAGUCCUCUAACUCUUUACAGCUGAAGUAACUUGUCACAUGACUUCAGAUUCAGCAGCUGCCAUGGAACAAGUCCUGGGUGCUUGAUGCUCAAAGCCUUGUUCCUGGACCAGUGCCUGGAAGCUCAUCCAGAAUCCCAAGCCUCG